Molecule: unclassified non-coding RNA, 148 nt
Organism: Macaca fascicularis (crab-eating macaque)
Lineage: Eukaryota; Metazoa; Chordata; Mammalia; Primates; Cercopithecidae
Rfam family: Metazoan signal recognition particle RNA
About the family: The signal recognition particle (SRP) is a universally conserved ribonucleoprotein. It is involved in the co-translational targeting of proteins to membranes. The eukaryotic SRP consists of a 300-nucleotide 7S RNA and six proteins: SRPs 72, 68, 54, 19, 14, and 9.
Source: Ensembl
GCUGGGCAUGGUGGCACGUGCCUGUAAUCCCAGCUACUCAGGAGGCUGAGAUAGGAGAAUCACUCGAACCCAGGAGAUGGAGGUUGCGGUGAGCCAAAAUUACACCACUGCACUCCAGCCUGGGUGACAGAGUGAGACUCCAUCUCAA